This 2356-nucleotide long non-coding RNA is filed under the name Triticum aestivum (bread wheat). RNAcentral describes it as "long non-coding RNA (TAES_LNC006570)". The record is from RNAcentral. Lineage: Eukaryota; Viridiplantae; Streptophyta; Magnoliopsida; Poales; Poaceae.
CCAACACGUUGCCUGCCUCAUCUCAUCUACAACGCAUGCAUACGUCAAGCGCCGUCGACCCAAGGGUCAACACUUUGUGCUGCUCGUUUGUAUGAGCCGUGUGCCUUGGGCACCCUGGCCAUAUGCUUGCCCACGGCCGCCGCCGCCGCCGAGAUCCAAGGUGUCUCUCCAUCUAUCUAUCCAUGUAAGACCAUGCACUGCUUUCUCCAUCUAACCUGCUUCUUUAAGGCAAUCAAUCUUGUCACUCGGCUGAUGCGUAUUUCUUCUUCUUCUUGACCUAGCGAUUCAUCUAUUUGACAUGGAGGUGCGGACAAGAUCCCACCCCGGCACUAGGCGUGAUGCCAGACCAAAGUAUAUAAGCAAAGGUUAGUGGAAAAACAAACUGUAUAUGCAUCGACAUAUAUCUCUUGGCUGGAUGCUUCCUUUCAUUCUUUUUUGUCAUCCUUCUUCUCUUAUGGUGAAUUGAUUAAUUUGUUGCUCCGCUCUAUCUAUGGUUUCAAGAUUGGAGUAUAUAUAUCGAGCUACACGGCCCAUCCAUGCCGGCGGGCGAAUCUCAAGGUAACAUUCCCUUCAAGAGUAGAGUAACCUGUUGCUAUUUCUACCUUGCAACAUUAUAGCAGCACACAUAUGUCUGUCUCUGAAUCCUACCUUGUUGCUAAUUAAGUGCAAGAACAGUUUCCGGAGAUGUAACCUGUUGGUCGAUGCUUUAUGUGCAUGCAUUAUUCCUGUUCCUUGUUUGCGCACACUUGCAUGCUAGAGAACCCUAGCAGCCGACCACACACGUACCGCUCCUUGCAGUUUUCAUUCUAUUCCAGUUUUCACUAACUUAUUAUGGUACACUGUUGGAGCAGAUAAUAGGAAAUCUACUUGCUAGUGAAUCAUGACCAAACUCUAAUUUGAGAACACGCUAGUAAAAAUGAAUCUGAGUCUGGGAGCGGAGGAGUUCAGAGUCUCACUCCUAAUUAGCUAAAAAUGAAUCUGUGUUUGUUUGAUUAAUGUUUUGGGGGUCAAGAGUUGUCGUGUCCUCAUCGUAAUUAGCCAUAUUGAUACCAUGCCUUGGUCAUGUCAUGGCACUGAGCGCUACAAAAGAUUUCCUCUAAAUUGGCAUCAACUAUGUUAUGGGAUGUAGAUUGUUUUUUUGGUUAACUCUAUAGGGUCAUUUUACACAUAUGAAAGAAUAAGUAGGUUUGUGUAAUCAUAUUAUUUUCUUUGUGCUUCAUUAGGGUCAAGACAAUGUUGGAAGGUAACUACAUGUAGCAGGCAUGAUGUAGAUUUUUGGGAUGAGAAAAAUAGAGAGAAGAGAGUGGUCUAAUCAUUUUUUGAUGCCGAUCUCUACUUUGGAGAGAUGCGAUGGCCUCUUAAAUUGGACUUUUAGGGUUGCGCACGCACUUCAUUUCGACGCGUUAUGCUGCCGAAAUUUCUGGCCGAAAACCCCACGACUUGUUUGUAAGGAAUCAAAAGCUUUAGCGUGUUGGAUGAAAAUUUUCAAGGUCUUGGCAGCAAGAUUGUGUUAUUUGUGGGGAUGAAAAUAGAAAAAGGAUGUUAUUUUUUUCCUGGUUUUCCGUAGCGAGGUGGAUCGACGUACCGGCCAGCACUAGACAUCUCCAUAGACGUACCGGCCGGCAGCGCGCGGUUGUUUCAUUUUCUCCGUAGACGUACGUAUGCGCACGUAGUACGUUGUCGAUCAGCGGCGCGAUUGCAAGAGUAUCAUAGCCUAUGCGCCAGCAAUACUAAGCACAAGAUAUGCAGGGUAGAGGAGACGAAGAUAUGCAGGGUAAUUCAGAUGGUUGGAAUUUCUUAAGACCCCAAUUAUGUUUGGAAUUUAGAAAGAAAAAACAGGCAACGAUGAAAAUGUAUUUUGUGUUUUUGCAGAUCCCGUCCUUCACUAUCUUCUCCUCUAUUAAUAUAUAAUACCUGUGAAAAAAAUAACAAACAGGCACAUAGGCAAAUAAAAGGUUGUUACAGUUAUCCAUGUUUUCAGUCAUACAGCACAAACGCCAGCAAGCAUUACAAAAACCACAAUAGUUGUAAUUCCUUUGAACCAAAGAGGAUUUUAUAGAAAAACAAUCUCAAGAAGUAGGGUUGUUAGAAUUCUUAUUCCCAUGUGAUUCAUUUGGAUGAAAGAUGCCACUAUGGAUGACUGGUCCAAACCAUCCUAAACCCGAUUACCUGGAGCAGGUCCUACAACUGUUGGAAGUAAACACGACAGUGUGUGUCUGUGUCCUUCACGUACAUGUGCGUGUACAUGUAUCCGAGUAGGUUUCCAAGUCAAUCACCGUGUAGGAGUAGUACUAGUUGGCUUAGCUAGUAUAUAUACUCACGUAUCCCCUUGUAACCAAAACCAUCGAAAAGUAAU